Molecule: long non-coding RNA, 2258 nt
Organism: Parus major (Great Tit)
Lineage: Eukaryota; Metazoa; Chordata; Aves; Passeriformes; Paridae
Exons: 5
Source: RefSeq, a predicted model, not a curated record
CCGGCAGUUGGUGUUGGGGCGCCGCGUGGGCUGAUGGGAGCUGUAGGCGGGGCCGCAGCCGCCUCACGCGACCCGCGAAUGUCGCUUGUUGCGGCUGUGGGGCCGCGCACGGAGCAGGGCGCUGACAAUGGGAGCCCAGGAAAGGCCUCUCAGUCCUCAAAUUUAUCCCUCUGACUACAUUGUACAGCCUCAAGCACCGAUGUAAAGGCGGAGCGAACUUGUCCCUGUUCUAAUUCCAGGCGGGACUCAGCGCUUUGAAUUUCCAAACACGGCCCGGGCUCGGCCCCCAGAGUUUCCCGCAACAAAUAAAACAAUUUAUUGUCCGAUAAAUUCUGGAAGGCAAUGCCUUGCAAGGUGUGGCCUCCGACGGGAUUCCCGAGAUUCCAGCGGAAACAGGAGUUCUCCAUCGGGGGAACUGCAAGUCCUGAAGAGGAAAUCUCUAAAACAGGAGUCGAGUUAUGAGUUUUAUCGCUUUCCUAAGCGAUUAUUUUCACCUCAUUUUUCACAUAUUAUUGAGUGAAAGAAGAUUUUCCUCAGAUUUACGUCAUUAAAAUAAACACAGCCCUGUCGGUGAUGGCAGUAUCUGGGAGAUGGUUCUGUCCUCUUCCUCCUCACCCCUUCAGUACUGGAACCCAUCCAUGUCCCUUCCUCCUGCGGUGUUUAUGGAAAACUUGGAAAAUCCCCCCCUUAUGCUCCUGUUUUGGAGAAAAAAACUGAGAUAUCAGAGUUGUCCCACGUUUCAGGGAAGAGAGGGAACGUGGUGAUUGUAAAAAGAAAGGAGCAUUUAACUGGGAUCACUGGAUUAUUACUGGCAGGACUCAGGUAGCUAAUUACUGCCAUUAAUUAGUGUGGAGCAGAUAAAGAGGGAUUUUUUUGUUUUACUUUUUAGCCCACCCAAGGAGAAAUCAAAAGAGGAAAAUAAAAGCCUGGACAGCACAGCUGCUCCUGAGCAUGUAGAUUUUUUUUUGCCAUCACUUUCACAAUCAGCUGUUUUUCUUGGGAAACUUUUUCCAAGGUACUUCAGUUACUCAUUUCUAGGAACUGGAGCCUCAUGUCCAGAAAAAGCUCCUGUUGGUGCAGGCAGGAGCUGCUGCCCCUCUGCCUGGCAACACAGAUCCCACAAACAAACCCAGGGAGCACACGGGGAAUCUGUGUCCAAAUCCGGUCUGCAGGAGCACCUGUGUGGAAAGGCUGUUCUUUAACACCAAGGAGGGAGGAGAAGAAUGAAGUGAUGCCCUGAACAACAGGAAGUAAAUUGAAAUCCAUUAUUUUUGGUGAAGAAAUCAGCAAAUCCCAGCACUGCAUCACACAAGUGGUGGUGUUCCUGAAAGGAGGAAGGCAUGUGUGUGACAACUGAUGGAUAUGGAGGAAUUGUUUGGGAAUUUGGAAGAUAACCUAUGGCAGGAUACAGCUAGCAGGAGGUUCAUCAAGUGGACACCAAGCAGAACAUGCUUCUAAGAACUUUCUUGAAUGGAUUUGUGUCAGGAUACCACAGAUAUCAUGGUCAGGAAUUUCAAGAACAAAAUCCCUGGGGAAGCUGCACAAGGAGCUUUCUCCUGAGAGCAAGAACCAAGUUUUCAUUUUGGCCAGCAAAGACACCAGUGCUGCUGCACAAGAGAGCAGGGAAUUGGUGUUGAAAAGGGAAGGAGCCACUGAAGGAGCUGAUUUUAAUGGAAUUGAGGACAGUUUUUGACUCUUCCAGGAAUUCCGACAGAGAAGCAAAAGCUGGCCAUUGAACAGGUGUGGAUCCAAUGAUGUUAACAGUCAGCAGAACCAAAGAUUUUUUUUUAAAGAGCCAUGGAUUGUACUGGUCCUUUUGGAUGUGAGGGGAACUUUAUGAUUAAAUUAACAUUUUUUUUUUAAUUUUCUAACACAGGGAAACCAGAUUGGAAAUUGAGGUGUAGAGAAGCUCCCAGUUGGAAAUACUUGACAUUGUAGCACUUGAUUUACAAAAGUUUUAAAGAAUCACAAUUCUUCAGAAUGCCUGAUUUUAACAGGAACUCUUCUGCACUCCCAUAAAUGUAUUUAUCAUGGAAAGUGGUCUUAGGAGGACUUCUGGGAUACAACUUCCAAGUAUGCAUUUUCCCUAGGAUAACUAACACAGCCUUUUUCCUGGACACUUCUUCUUCUCCAGAAAACUCCAUGGUUUUGGGGAAGGAUUUUCACAGAAUCACUGAGGUUGGAAAAGAUCUCUAAAAUCAUCAAGUCCAACCUGUGCUUGAUGCCCACUUUGUCCCCAGCCCAGAGCGCCUCAUCCA